CCAAGGAGUCUAACAUGUGCGCGAGUCAAUGGGAAUCACUCGAGACCCACAGGCGCAAUGAAAGUGAAGGUGGUUUGGCUUGUCCCCACCGAGGCGGGAUCCGUUUAACAAGUUUUUUCCCGUUCAAUUGUUUUUYCCCCUCYYNSGGGGGGUKGSMARSSGGGUUGGCUUGGCGGCGCACCGUCGGCCCGUCGCAAACGCAACGCCGUUGCGGCGGAGCAAGAGCGUACACGUUGGGACCCGAAAGAUGGUGAUCUAUGCCCGGGCAGGACGAAGCCAGAGGAAACUCUGGUGGAGGUCCGUAGCGAUUCUGACGUGCAAAUCGAUCGUCGGACCUGGGUAUAGGGGCGAAAGACUAAUCGAACCG
RNAcentral lists this ribosomal RNA (367 nucleotides) under Paralamyctes cammooensis. Its description in RNAcentral is "partial 28S ribosomal RNA". It matches the Rfam family "Eukaryotic large subunit ribosomal RNA", at positions 666 to 942 of the family's 3401-position model. The record is from RNAcentral. Lineage: Eukaryota; Metazoa; Arthropoda; Chilopoda; Lithobiomorpha; Henicopidae.